AAGUCGUAACAAGGUUUCCGUAGGUGAACCUGCGGAAGGAUCAUUAUCGAGAGAGGGGCUUCGCGCUCCCGGGGGUUUGCCAGCCCCAACCUCAUCACCAUGCCAAUCUUAUCCGUUGUUGCUUUGGCGGGAUUCCGGGUAUGUCUUGCGUAGGUUUGUCAUAAACCCGUGCGAGAUGUGCCCCGGCGCCCGCCGGAGGCCCAUUAAAAUCUGUUUAUCAGUGAUGUCCGAGUAAAAAACCAAAAUAAAAAA
This 252-nucleotide unclassified non-coding RNA is filed under the name plant metagenome. RNAcentral describes it as "partial contains small subunit ribosomal RNA and internal transcribed spacer 1". The stretch from base 1 to 46 matches the Rfam family "Eukaryotic small subunit ribosomal RNA", at positions 1786 to 1831 of the family's 1831-position model. The record is from RNAcentral.